GUCUGUUAAAUAUCUGUUUAGACUCGUAUAUUUUGCUAGUCUCAUAAAACUGUUUAAUGAUUAAACUUGUUCCCUUUUUGGGCAGUGUUCUUGUCUGGAUUUCAAGAAAUACAUUUUUCUUGAUGUCUUUCACCUCCUACAUAAGCCUUAUAAUCAUUAUUCUGCAAUCUCUUUUGCCUAUCUCCAUAAGUACCAUGGGUGAUACUGAUAUCAGUAUUCCUUAACUAUAGUCGAUUUACUUUGCAACCAGCCCAAGUCUUAUCUUGUUCAAUUGAAAAUCAU
RNAcentral lists this long non-coding RNA (282 nucleotides) under Linum usitatissimum (flax). Its description in RNAcentral is "long non-coding RNA (LUSI_LNC000809)". Lineage: Eukaryota; Viridiplantae; Streptophyta; Magnoliopsida; Malpighiales; Linaceae. The record is from RNAcentral.